GACGAACGCUGGCGGCGUGCCUAAUACAUGCAAGUAGAACGCACAGUUUAUACCGUAGCUUGCUACACCAUAGACUGUGAGUUGCGAACGGGUGAGUAACGCGUAGGUAACCUGCCUGGUAGCGGGGGAUAACUAUUGGAAACGAUAGCUAAUACCGCAUAAUAUUAAUUAUUGCAUGAUAAUUAAUUGAAAGGUGCAAUUGCACCACUACCAGAUGGACCUGCGUUGUAUUAGCUAGUAGGUGAGGUAACGGCGCACCUAGGCGGCGAUACAUAGCCGACCGGAGAGGGUGGUCGGCCACACUGGGACGGAGACACGGCCCAGACUCCUACGGGAGGCAGCAGUAGGGAAUCUUCGGCAAUGGACGAAAGUCUGACCGAGCAACGCCGCGGGAGUGAAGAAGGUUUUCGGAUCGUAAAGCUCUGUUGUAAGGGAAGAACGGGUGUGAGAGUGGAAAGUUCACACUGUGACGGUAUCUGACCAGAAAGGGACGGCUAACUACGUG
This 505-nucleotide ribosomal RNA is filed under the name uncultured bacterium. RNAcentral's name for it is "partial 16S ribosomal RNA". It matches the Rfam family "Bacterial small subunit ribosomal RNA", at positions 28 to 507 of the family's 1533-position model. The record is from RNAcentral.